CACGGAGGAUCCGAGCGUUAUCCGGAUUUAUUGGGUUUAAAGGGUGCGCAGGCGGGAGAUUAAGUCGGCGGUGAAAUUUUGCAGCUCAACUGUAAAAGUGCCUUCGAAACUGGUUUCCUUGAGUGUGGAUGAAGUAGGCGGAAUUUGUGGUGUAGCGGUGAAAUGCAUAGAUAUCACGAGGAACUCCGAUUGCGCAGGCAGCUUACUAAACCAUAACUGACGCUCAGGCACGAAGGCGUGGGGAUCAAACAGGAUUAGAUACCCUGGUA
Molecule: ribosomal RNA, 269 nt
Filed under: uncultured prokaryote
Description: partial 16S ribosomal RNA
Rfam family: Bacterial small subunit ribosomal RNA
Source: RNAcentral